This 495-nucleotide ribosomal RNA is filed under the name uncultured bacterium. RNAcentral describes it as "bacterial SSU rRNA". It matches the Rfam family "Bacterial small subunit ribosomal RNA", at positions 846 to 1359 of the family's 1533-position model. The record is from RNAcentral.
UCGCACUUAACGGAUUAAGCAUUCCGCCUGGGGAGUACGGCCGCAAGGCUAAAACUCAAAGGAAUUGACGGGGGNUCGCACAAGCGGUGGAGCAUGUGGUUUAAUUCGAUGCAACGCGCAGAACCUUACCAACCCUUGACCCCUUUUAUCGCGGUGACCAGAGAUGGCACCUUCAGUUCGGCUGGAUAAAAUGACAGGUGCUGCAUGGCUGUCGUCAGCUCGUGUCGUGAGAUGUUCGGUUAAGUCCGGCAACGAGCGCAACCCACUUCUUUAGUUGCCAGCAUUUAGUUGGGCACUUUAAAGGAACUGCCGAUGAUAAGUCGGAGGAAGGUGUGGAUGACGUCAAGUCCUCAUGGCCCUUACGGGUUGGGCUACACACGUGCUACAAUGGCAGUGACAAUGGGCUGAUCCCCAAACGCUGUCUCAGUUCGGAUUGUCUUCUGCAACUCGAAGACAUGAAGUCGGAAUCGCUAGUAAUCGCGUAUCAGCAUGACG